UACGUAGGGUGCGAGCGUUGUCCGGAAUUACUGGGCGUAAAGAGCUUGUAGGUGGUUUGUCGCGUUGUUCGUGAAAUCUCACGGCUCAACUGUGAGCGUGCGGGCGAUACGGGCAGACUAGAGUACUGCAGGGGAGACUGGAAUUCCUGGUGUAGCGGUGGAAUGCGCAGAUAUCAGGAGGAACACCGAUGGCGAAGGCGGGUCUCUGGGCAGUAACUGACGCUGAGAAGCGAAAGCGUGGGGAGCGAACAGG
This 253-nucleotide ribosomal RNA is filed under the name uncultured bacterium. Its description in RNAcentral is "partial 16S ribosomal RNA". It matches the Rfam family "Bacterial small subunit ribosomal RNA", at positions 524 to 776 of the family's 1533-position model. The record is from RNAcentral.